RNAcentral lists this ribosomal RNA (253 nucleotides) under uncultured bacterium. RNAcentral describes it as "partial 16S ribosomal RNA". It matches the Rfam family "Bacterial small subunit ribosomal RNA", at positions 524 to 776 of the family's 1533-position model. The record is from RNAcentral.
UACGUAGGUGGCAAGCGUUGUCCGGAAUUAUUGGGCGUAAAGCGCACGUAGGCGGAUCUUUAAGUCAGGGGUGAAAUCCCGAGGCUCAACCUCGGAACUGCCUUUGAUACUGGGGAUCUCGAGUCCGGGAGAGGUGAGUGGAACUGCGAGUGUAGAGGUGAAAUUCGUAGAUAUUCGCAAGAACACCAGUGGCGAAGGCGGCUCACUGGCCCGAUACUGACGCUGAGGCACGAAAGCGUGGGGAGCAAACAGG